This is an RNA transcript of Callithrix jacchus (white-tufted-ear marmoset), 9796 nucleotides long. RefSeq lists it as uncharacterized. Lineage: Eukaryota; Metazoa; Chordata; Mammalia; Primates; Cebidae. The record is from RefSeq and is a predicted model, not a curated record.
GAUUCGCCAGGAAAUGAACUUUUUAAUAAUCCGAGGAGGGAGGAAAGCCCUCGGUCCCCUCGGCUCCGGGGGCGCCCGACUGGGCCCAGCUCCGCGGGCGCGCCCCCGUCACCCCCUCCCCGGCCAGCUCAGGGCAGCGCCGAGUGGGCGCGGGCCCAGGCCCGGGCUUCCUCCUGCUUCUGCGUCUGGCGUCCGUUUGUCUGUCCGAGGCCCAAGCGCAGGUAAACCGCGGGGCUUGGGGGGCGCAGAGCUCCACUGGACUGAGAACCAGCGCGUCUAGUGCCCUGGGGGACCUGCCUGCUGAGCCUCCCGCUCCCCUCCACUUUGGGGCGCGCGGAGCCGGGUCUGCUCGGAAUUCCAUUCCGCGGGAACCGAGGCCUGCGCCAGCCGGGAAAGGCGGGCGGGGCUGGAGGCAGAGCGCGAGGUCCCCGGCGCCGGGCCUCCGCGGCCAGGCCGGGCAGCUUACUAUUCUUCAUCAACGCGUAAAAUGAGAUCGCCGCGGAGCUCGAGCCUAUUUGGCGUCUCCGGAGCCUAGCAGGACCCUCUGAAAGACACCGCGGCACCGGGAAUAAUCCCCCGCGUCCAGCAAAGCUGCCCGGCUUGAACGCGAACCCUGGGACCCAGCGCGGGAGGCAGACCCGCAGCUGUCCGCUGGGCUGUGAACUCCAGGGCCGAGCGGAAGCUUCCCGCCCCGCCGCGAUCUGCGCCGCGGCUCGCAGGGAAGUGGCUGCACACCGCCCUCGGGAAAGCAGAUUAUCGGAGCCCUUUCAGAGAGCGCACAACAAAUGCGCCCGCCAUCGAAUGCAUCAUUUACCACCGCAGAUCCGCGCGCUGAUGGGCAGGCAGAUAGCCGUCCGCUGGGGGCACGCGGGCGCCCCGUGCCCGCACCACCCGCCUGCCUUCCAGGGCCACGGAGUGUGUGCCCCUGUGUGCCCGGCGUGUUUGGGUGGACACGUGGGUGUGCCAGUGCAUGCGAGUGUGCAGGUGUGUGAAGCAAGUGUGCCACAAAAAAGUGCACAUGUGCGAGUCCAUUCAUGCACAUGCAUGGAGGUCGUGUGUGUGCUGAGUGCCCAAAGGUAACCGAUGAGGCGGUUGCAGGGUGCACAGGAGGCGGUGUUGCACUGAGCAUGUGAGCCCAGGGUGGCUGGACACGUGGCGGAGGAAUGGGAGUGCAAGCCCGCGUGUCCGAGUGCAGAGGAUGAGCGUCCUGCGAGUGCCUCACUGUGUCUGCCCUGGAGGUGGCUGUUUAGGGGGGCACGCCAGAGGCCACUAGGGUUGAUGUGUGGUGUGCAUGCAGGUGCCCACCCUGCGUUGUGUUUCAGGGCACACAAGCUUCCUGUGCCUCCUGGGGGAAAGCGUGCAGGUGUCAGUGCUCCCUCUGGGCGUGAACUUGUGGUGUGCUCGGGUCUGCGUGAGGCUGCGUGUCCUGCUGUAUCUCUGCCCAGGUGUGCCCAGGUGAGCUGCAUGAGGGUCACGGGGGAACGGCAGUAGUUGGGGCCUGUCCGUAUGCCAGCGUGAGUAGACUCUGGGCUGGGGAGGCGACAGGGAAUGGUGUGAGCGAGUGUGACAGACGCCAGAGUGGCGAGGUGGAACGUGCUGUGUCACAGGAGACAGGAGACUUUUGGGGCGAAAACGGAGUGUGCGAGUGUAGGAGGAGGGGCCGUCCGCGGAAUUUGGGGACACCCGGGGCUCCGAGCCCCAGAGCCUCCCCGCCGGAGCUCUGCAGCUGGGACAAGGAAGCCCGAACCCGCCGCCUGAGGUCCCCGCGCCGUGAGUGACACGCGCCGCCGACAAAGGCUGUAUUUUUCCAGGCUUGCGCCCCGCCCGCGCGCGCGCGAUGGUCCCCAUGGCGACGCAGAUAGCGCCGCAGCCAUUUUCCCUAUCUCCCCGGAGUCUAUUAUACUGCGGGAUUAGCUCAUCUCCAGGCAGGUCAAACCCAAAGUCACACAACCUGCGACGCGAGCCCCACCCCCGCCCCCCGGGCCGCCCCUCCCCCGCCCCGGCCCCGGCCCCGGCCCCGGCCCGGGUCUGGGCUCCCGCCCGGCGACCCCCGGCCGCUGUCCAAGCGCAGGCGCAGAGCGCCACCUGCCGGCCGCGGGUGUCUCGGGUGGAGUCCGAGGAGCCGGCUCCCGUGCAGAAGAGGUUGGGUGACGGUCUCUACCUUCAGAAGGCGGGCUUUCCGGGAGCAGGGGCUUUGCUUGUCACUGCUGUUCCCCAGGACAAGGCUGACACACAGUAGGUGCUCCAUAAGUGUUUGUUGAAAGGAUGGGUGGAUGGAUGGGCAGGAAACUAUAGACGGGGUGGGCGGGGGGGGGGCAAGCUGCAAAGGCUACAGUUAAGUUGGCAGCAAGAAAUCGUUUCUGAGAAUGUAUCCCACUGAAUUUAGAAUAAAAGCCAAAAAGCCAAACUCUUAGAACCUAUGUAGUGGCCCUUACUGACCUCUCAGACCUCAUUUCCUUCUUCUUCACUGCAUCCGCAGUGGCUGUCUUCCUGUUCCAGAGCGUUCCAUCUCAGGCCCUUUGAGGAUACUGUUCCCGCAACCCCGAGUGCAUUCCGCCUUUACUCAAGUGUCACCCUCCGAGAGCCAGGUCGCUCCCUUGUGCCCCGCUCUUCUCUGUGAAUUUCUUUUUUUCUUUUUCUUUUUAUUUUGAGACAGUCUUGCUCUGUUGCCAGGCGCCAGGCUGGAGUUCAGUGGCGCGAUCUCAGCUCACUGCAACCUCCGCCUCCCGGGUUCAAGCAAUUCUUCUGCCUCAGCCUCCCGAGUAGCUGGGAUGGGUACACGCCACCAAGCUCAGCUAAUUUUUGUAUUUUUUUUAGUAGAGAUGGGGUUUCACCAUGUUGGCCAGGAUGUUCUCUAUCUCUUGACCUUGUGAUCCACCUGCCUUGACCUCCCAAAGUGCUGGGAUUACAGACAUGAGCCACGGCACCAGGCCCUGUGCAUUUCUUUCGUAGUGCUUAACACAGUCUGAAAUCGCCUCGCCCCUGUGUGCGUGCUGUCUGGCUCUCCCUCUAGUGUGCCAGGCUUCUUGUGGGGGUGGAGGCUCUGUUUUGCUUGUGGCUACAGCUCAGCAACUGGAAUCAUAUCUGACAAUUGAUUGGCAUCAGUCGCAACUCUGGGAAUGAGGGAAUGAGGAUAGAGGGGCCUGGACGGCCUUCAUCAUUGUCAUUUCUCUCUAUCACUACGGGAGCUCCUUUUUCCCCUCCAUGACUUUUUGCAAGUCAUUCAGCAGCCAGCCACUCCAGCCCCACUGACCUGCCCCCAUCCCAGAGGGGCCUGGGAUGGAGGGAUAGAACCACUGAGGCCCCUCCACAUCCCUGCACCCGCCGUGCCCAUGAGGGCAGAGAACAUUUCUCACCUGGCUCUCAGGAGCUGUGGCCUCUCUAGGGAGGGCUGGCCUGCCAGCGAGACUUCACUCAUAAUACAAGAUAAUUAUACCGGAGUUGUCAUGAGGCGGUGAUGAUUAAUUGCUGUGCGUGGGGCAUGGAUCAACAGCAAGAUAUAGAGAGCAAAGAGAAGGCCACACUCCAACUGGGCUUCCAGGUGUGAGCUUGCCCUGCCCAUCUCUGCCCUAGAAGGAGCUCAGCAGGCAUCAGGCCAAGCUUCACCUGCCCAGGCAGGCUUGGGACAAACCCUGGGAGGGAGCCUUGGCCAGGAGCUCUGAGAAUUAGCUUCACUUCCCUCAGAAAUGGCCCAAUUCCUUCUUGGAAGAGGAGCUGUAUGACAGCUCAGGCCAGGGGGUCAGGACUCCCCCAUCUCCUCCUCGCACACCCACAUACAUACCCCUACCAGCUGGGUGGCUGGAUGAAAGUCAUUGUUCUGCUCUGAGCCUCAGGGUCUGCCUCUGCCCACCUCCCUCCAGGAUGACUGGGAGAAUUAUGUGUGAGCAUGCAUUUAAAAAGAGUUGUGUUUUGUAAACCCAGGCUUUGCAAAUUGGCAGCCCAAGUCUCAGGGGCCUGUGCAGUGACUGAUCAUCAUUGCUAGCAUUUCGAAGUAGAAAGAUGUCAUGUAAAGAGCGUCAUUUCCAGCUUCUCUUGAAAAGUUGUAAGAUGAGCCACCCUGGGACUGUAUUCCUGAAUGGCAACGUAAGGGCAGAGUCUUGCAGCAUCACCGCUUAUGAUAGUGUGCACCAGGGUUCCCACCCACUGGCUGCAGGCCCUCGGGUAGGGGAUGUGCCCCUCAUGGAAACACCAGUUACUGUGGCUGUGUUGGUUUUGGCUUUCCUUCUCUGUAGCCUUCCAAUAUCUUUCUCCCUCCGGGUACUGUAAACCACUUAGUCAUUAACUAGUUAAUAAAUUAGUCUUAUCAGCACUUUUAAAUAAUGUGCUAGGCCACACUGUGGUGGACCCCAGAUGGAUAGCAGCAAACCAAACAGCCAUGGGACCUUCCCUCAGGGAGCAAUCAUUCCAGUGGAGGAGUCAGAUAUGACUCACCACAUAGAUGGAAAAUUCUCCACAAAUGAUGAGACUGCUGAACAUAGAUGGGCUGCUGCAUCUAUAGAUGCAUCUAUAGAACAUAGAGUCCAGGCUUACUUGCAGAGAUCUACGCUGGGCCAGGCCCUGUGCUAGGCAGCAGAGGACAUGGAAUAAAAUUGAAUAUGGUCACUGUGUGCAGGUAACUCAUGGUGUGGUAGAGGAGCAGCCCGGUCAACAGGUUCUGUUAAUUCCAGCCUGUAAGAAAUGAAACCACAGGGUGAAUUUUGGAAGAGAGGCUCUUAAACUAAUCUGGAAGCAUAAUAUAUAAAAAGUACCUAUAAAUCAAUAAAAAAAAAUACAAUAGAAAAAAAUGAGCAAAGCAUAUGAACAGAAAAUUCAAUGAAAAGAAAAUAGAAAUGGCUCGUAAAUGAAUGAAAACAUACUCUCACUCAGAGAAAUGAAAAUUUAACACAUGUCAAGAUACUUGGGGUGAAGGAAGUGUUUUAAAAUUAGACUGUGGUGAUGGUUAUAACUCUGUACAUUUACUAAAACUUAUUGAAGUGUAUGCUUAAAACAAAUGAACUUUAUAGCAUGUCAGUUAUAUCACAAUAAGGCUGUUUUAAAAAUAAAAACACUUUGAGAUACCAUUUUAUACCUGUUGGUUUUAGCAAAUGUCAAAACACUGGAUAACGCAUCAUGUUCCUAAGGGCAUGGGGGAGAUGGCCUGGGGCAAGUGUCCACUGAUGCACUCUCAGGUUGGGAUGAGCAACAGGACGCUGUGAAACUUACAAAUAUAUUUACCCUUUGAGCUGGGAAUUCCACUCAUAGGACUUUAUCUGAUAGAUAUGCUUUACAUCUAUAAAAUUUAUCAGGAAAUUCACUGCAGCCUCAUAGAUUAUGGCAAAAGUUUGGAAACAAAAGAUGUUUGUCUGCAGAUGAAAUGCUAUACCACUGUUGAAAAAAAAAAAGAGAGAGAGAGAAAAGAAAGAGUGAGAAAAAGGAAAGAGUAGCUCGUUGCAUACCGAUACGGCAUAAUCCCAAGAUAGAAUUCUUGUGAAAAUAAACAUGCAGUACAUGAUGUGUUACCACUUCAUUAAGAACUGGGUAAGGAGAGAAAAUAUAUACAUUCACUUACAUAUUUACAGAAUUUCUCUGGAUGGAAAACAAAAGAAGUUGUUAACAAUGGUUGACAUCUACCUGUGUUUGGGACCUGGGUUUGGGUGGCUGGGGACAGGGAUGGGAGAAAGAUUUUCAUGGUACCUUUUGAUUCCUGUUGAAAUUACAUAGACAGGUGAUAGGUAGAGCUAGAGAGCUAUACACCUGCACACAUACAUGCCCACAUGUAUAUAUACCCUAUAUAGGAAAACGAGAUUAAAAUGCAAAAUGUGAACUUUUUGACUACAAAAUAAAGAUGGAAAAAAAGUUUUCCAAGAAGAAAAGUCGGGGGGAAAUUCUAGCCACUGACUCAAACAUAAAGAAACAAGAAUUCUCUUGCCUUAUUGCCAGGAAUGUAAAUAGUUCCAACUAUUUUGCAGAGUAAUUUAGCUGUUUCUGCCAAAGCUGAAGAUUGGAAUGCCACAUGGCCCAGCCAGUCCUCUUCCAGGGAUAUGAGAAGCCCUCACACAUGAGCAAGAAGGAGGUGUGUCCAAAGACAUUCAUGGAGCCCUAUUUGUUAAAAGAGAAAAAAAGAAAGAAAUUAAGAAAUACCCAGCCUGGACAACAUAGGAAGACCCUAUCGCUACUAAAAAUAAAAAGUUUAAAAACUAGCCGGGCAUGGUGAUGCACACCUGUGGUCCCAGCUACUUGGUAGGCUGAGGUGGGAGGAUCACUUGAGCUCAGAAUAUUGAAGCUGCAAUGAGCUGUGAUCGUGUCACUGUAUUCCAGCCUGGGAAUGACAGAGAGUGAGACCCUGUCUCAAAAGAAAGGAAGAGAAGAGAAGGAAAACAGAAACCAACUUUGGACUCAGCUGAUGGCCCAUCCUGAGCGUACCAGAUAACAGAUGCUGGGACCUUCUUCAGGUGAAUGCCACACAAUAUUUUCUUUGCAGACGUCCAUGCUGAUGUUCACAGGGCACACCGCGUUUCAGCUGAAGAAAGAACUGGCAGGAUUUUCAUCAAGAAAGAGCACUAUCGUUUAUGAAAAUGAAGCAUAUAAAGUAAAAGUUUGGAAACAGAAAUGAAUUAAAUCUUCGGACGGAUUUUAAAAUAAGAUUUAAAAAAGAGCAAGACGUGCCAUGUUCUUGGACAGGGAAACUUAAUACCAGAAAAAUGUCAAUUUUCCCAUUUUUCCCAUAGAAAUGUAAUGUAAUUCAAAUUACAUUACCAACAGGAUAAUUUUUUAAAAACUGGAUAAAAUGAUCUCAAAGAUUAUAUGGCAGAAUAAAUGCCCAAGAAUUCCAGGGAAGGCUGGAAAAAAACUGCUCUAGGGGUUUUGCUUUCCUGGAAACAAGAACAUACUACAAAGUCACUGUAAUCAGAUCAAUAUGGCAGUGGUAGAGGACUAGACAAUGGAAAGGAAUGGAGAAUACAAAAAUAGAUUUCAGGAUAUAUGAGAAGGAGAUAUAUGACAAAGGUAGUAUUUUGAUCUGGUGGGAGAAGGGCAGAUUGUGAAGUAAGUGGAGCCAGCUACAACUGAAUAUCCAUCUGGAAUAAAAUAAAAUUGUACUCCUCUUAGAGAUCCAAAUCAACUUCAGACAGAUUAAAGUUUUGAAUGUAAAAAAUAUAAAUGACUAACAGUCCUGCAAAAAAUCUUGGAGAUGACCUGUGCCAUCUGGAGAGUGGGAAAAACACGUGCAAAGGUCAGGGGGUGGAGUGGCCCAGCAUGUUCUGGAAAAUGUAGGGCCCCCGAGGCUGGGAUGACAGUGGAGACAUGGGUGUGUGAGAGCACAGGAGUGGGGCUCAUGGGCCAGGAACACCCAGAGAGGGGCUGGUGCUCUGCCACAGGCCCGCGCCCCAAAGCGCGGUCAUUCCCAGCACCAUCUUCACAGGUUUCUGCCCAAGUCUUUCUGCUGCAUCUCUUCCUCCCUGAUUCCUUAAUCAUUUUUUGAAAAUCAGUUCAUGUCUUUAUAAACCAAAUGAUUUCCAAAAGGCAAGUUUAUAUUACUGCCAAAAUCAAGGGCCAGUGAGCUAGUUAGGUAAUUUUCUGAAUCACAUGGAAAUAAAUGCAUGGACCAUUAAGAAGGAACCAGUGUCUGCCAUUAGCUACCUCGGUGUGCUGGCCUCAAUGUGCAUUUUUGGAAAUUGCCCUGCCACCUUGUGGGCAGGAGGGACUGGAUGGGUAGGGACUCGGAGUGAGCAUGAAGGUGACCAGAAGGUCCAUUCCCUAGAAGGUGGGGAGGUGGAAGCCAGGGUCCAGGCCUUGGGCCCUGCCCACCCCCUUCUCACAUACCGGCCUCUCGUCCGACGUUCCAGAACCUGACCACUUCCCGCCUCAACGAGCAGCAGGCCUGGUCCAAGCAGCCAGCCUGGUCCAAUCGGUUGGGGUCUCUCUCCUGGACUAUUGGAAUAGCCUCCUUGCUGGAAGUUCCCAGCUUCCCCACAGUCUGUUCAGAGCACAGUGGCCAGCAGGGGCCUGUGAAAAUAUAAGACAGGCCAGGCAUGGUGGCUCACACCUGUAGUUCCAGCACUUCAAGAGGCUGAGGCGGGUGGAUUGCUUGAGCCCAGGAGUUCCAGACCAGCCUAGGCAACACGGCUAAACCCCAUCUCUACAGAAGAUACAAAAGUUAGCCAGGCGUGGUGGCACACGCCUGUAAUCCCAGCUACUUGGGAGGCUGAGGCGGGAGGAUCACCUGAACCCAGAAGUCAUGGCUUCUGUGAGGUGUGAUUGCGUCAUUGCCCUCCAUCCUGGGCAACAGAGUGAGCUCCUGUCUCAAAAAAAACAAAAACAGAAACAAAAAAAGACGUAAGUCAAACCUGUCCUGUCUGCUCCACACCCUCCCGCAGCACCCGGGCCCCUCGCAGCCUCUUUGUCAUUCCCUUUGCUUGCUCCACUCCUGCUCCACUGGCUUCCUUCUUGUUUCUCAAACAGCUGGCACGUGUCCACCCCAGGACAUUUGCACUAGCUGUCCUUGUGCCCAGAUACCCAUGGGCUGAGACAUGGCUCCCUCACACUUUGGGCCUGGUUGCCUUCCUAGACUACCUUCUGAUGAGCUGGGUGUGACAACUGGGGCAUAGGUGGGUUCCGGAAGCCCUGCAACCUGGGGUCAGCAGGCAGGCCUGAGAGGCCGGUCUCCAGGCUUUGCAGCUCCUGGCAAGAGGCCCCAGAGCUCUUGCCCUUCUAGAGAUGGUGGCCCCACAUUCAAAGCCCAGAACGUGGGCCAUCUGGAGCCAAGGUCUGGGAUGUUAGAGGAGAGGAACUGGGGACUCCAUGUAAGGACCACAGGUCAGCCUGGGCCUGUCCAAACCACCUGCAUGGGACAUGGCAGGGGCCCAACACUGGGCGCCCAGCGGGUCACUGUAGCAGCAUCCAUGUGUCCAUAUUCAGGUCGCUGCACCCAGAUUUUCCCUCCAGGGACCACCCCUUCCCACUCUUAGUCCAAGGUGGUCCAUGUGAAGUGCCUACCCCUGGCUCAGCCAAUCAGAGUCAUUCUGGCUGAUUCAUUCUGGGCACAUGACUCAGGAGGAUCCAUGGAGAGUCCAGCCUGGAAAGUUGGCAAGAAUCCUCGACGACUGCCCUCCUGCUGGGGUCACAGGGCAGAUCGUGUGGCACUGGGAGCUGUGGGUAGCCAUCUUUACCUCUACUCUCAGGAGAGUAUGCCUGAGAGUGAGGCCAGCACAGAAGAGCAGAGCUGAGAGAGACUGGCUCUCAGUCCCACUGCCGAAAGCCAGCUAGAGCCCUGGCCUUUUCAGUGACAUGAGCCAAUGACAACUCCCAGUUCUCUCCCUCUGGUCAGUCUGAGGUGGGCUUUGUGCCUCUUACAACUGAAAGAGUCCUGGUAGUCACAGGCAUGGCUGAUUAAAGAUGGCCACCAGGUCUUUGUUACUCCCUCAUGCUAGGGGCCUUGAGUGUGGGUGUGCUCUGAGGUGACUCGACCAGGAGGGUACGGUAGCAGUGACACUGCAGUUUCUAGCCCAGGCCGGAAGAGAUGAUUAACGCCCACUCCUUGCUUCUUGAAAGCCUCUCCUUGGGAGUCCUGGGCUGCUAUGUUAAAAAUCCAACUGCCCUGAGGCCACCAUGAUGUGAGGAGGCUAGAGCCAGGUGGAGAGGCCACCGGUGGCGAAAGACCUGCCCUACCAGUUCCCACCAUCCCAGCCCCCAGCCAUCUGAGUCAUCCCCACUGAGGACACAGCUAUCACAGAGCAGAUACAAGCUAUUCCUGCAAGUCCCAUCCAGAUUCUUGACCCAUAGUUUGUGGGAUAUAAUAAUAAUGAACUAUUUGAGGCCA